Molecule: long non-coding RNA, 367 nt
Organism: Oreochromis niloticus (Nile tilapia)
Lineage: Eukaryota; Metazoa; Chordata; Actinopteri; Cichliformes; Cichlidae
Exons: 3
Source: RefSeq, a predicted model, not a curated record
AAUUUGGUUUUAUUUGCUCAGCUGGGCUGAAACUAAAAGCUCCUGACGGAUCUGAGGCGGAGCCGGUUUGUGCCACAAAUAGCAGCAGAGUCGCUUUCAGAGAGGAAAACAAAUGACCAGCAGCAGGAAAUCAGACAGCAGCACGAGUUUGGAAUCACAGCAUCACUUCAGGCUCUUUAAAUAUCUCCUACCUGUGGAUCCCGAAGCUCUUUUUUAAAGUUUAAACUUCUGUGGAUCUGUAGAGAUCAUCAUGGCAGCUGAGGUGAUGUUAAAGCACAGGCGUCAGCCCUGGCUCCACAUGGACACAGCGGGCUGGGGAUCUGAUCCCUACAGAGAGCAGCUUGAUGAAGAGGAAAGAAGACCAAAC